AGAGUUUGAUUCUGGCUCAGAACGAACGCUGGCGGCGUGGAUAAGACAUGCAAGUCGAACGAGAGAAUUGCUAGCUUGCUAAUAAUUCUCUAGUGGCGCACGGGUGAGUAACACGUGAGUAACCUGCCCCCGAGAGCGGGAUAGCCCUGGGAAACUGGGAUUAAUACCGCAUAGUAUCGAAAGAUUAAAGCAGCAAUGCGCUUGGGGAUGGGCUCGCGGCCUAUUAGUUAGUUGGUGAGGUAACGGCUCACCAAGGCGAUGACGGGUAGCCGGUCUGAGAGGAUGUCCGGCCACACUGGAACUGAGACACGGUCCAGACACCUACGGGUGGCAGCAGUCGAGAAUCAUUCACAAUGGGGGAAACCCUGAUGGUGCGACGCCGCGUGGGGGAAUGAAGGUCUUCGGAUUGUAAACCCCUGUCAUGUGGGAGCAAAUUAAAAAGAUAGUACCACAAGAGGAAGAGACGGCUAACUCUGUGCCAGCAGCCGCGGUAAUACAGAGGUCUCAAGCGUUGUUCGGAAUCACUGGGCGUAAAGCGUGCGUAGGCUGUUUCGUAAGUCGUGUGUGAAAGGCGCGGGCUCAACCCGCGGACGGCACAUGAUACUGCGAGACUAGAGUAAUGGAGGGGGAACCGGAAUUCUCGGUGUAGCAGUGAAAUGCGUAGAUAUCGAGAG
This 674-nucleotide ribosomal RNA is filed under the name uncultured bacterium. Its description in RNAcentral is "bacterial SSU rRNA". It matches the Rfam family "Bacterial small subunit ribosomal RNA", at positions 8 to 703 of the family's 1533-position model. The record is from RNAcentral.